GUAUGGGGCAUCCUAUAGGUGCAAAGUGGGGUGUAUUUUUGUAGGUGCAAAGGCUCCAAUAAUUGAUGCUUAAUGGAUUUUCUAAAGGGAGUCAAAUAACUAAAGGAAUAAGGAUUCCUAAUGCAAGUAGGAGUUGUAUUAAGUGGUUGUUUGAUUUUGAAUAGGAUUCAAAUCUUAUGCUUAUUUAAAGGAACCUUCCAUAAGGUCUCUAGGCAUUUCAACCAGGAGUCCCACACCCC
RNAcentral lists this long non-coding RNA (239 nucleotides) under Elaeis guineensis (African oil palm). RNAcentral's name for it is "long non-coding RNA (EGUI_LNC074186)". The record is from RNAcentral. Lineage: Eukaryota; Viridiplantae; Streptophyta; Magnoliopsida; Arecales; Arecaceae.